This 5207-nucleotide long non-coding RNA is filed under the name Gossypium barbadense (sea-island cotton). RNAcentral describes it as "long non-coding RNA (GBAR_LNC015994)". Lineage: Eukaryota; Viridiplantae; Streptophyta; Magnoliopsida; Malvales; Malvaceae. The record is from RNAcentral.
CUCAAAAUGAUUAAGACUCUAUACAUGCCAUAGUUUAAACAUUUUGAAAAGCACAUAAUACCGAGAUGGCUAUGAUAGUGUGAUACGAGCUCCGACGGUCCACUAUUCGAUCAAGUUCAAAUCACUAUAAAACAAAGGAAAGAAAGAUAUGUGUAAGCUAUAAAUAGCUUAGUAAGUUACAUGUAAACAAUAAUUACUCAUUUAAUAAUUAACACUUUUAACAUAUAACUAAUCAAAACAUUUCUUAGCAAUUUCAAUCACUUACACAUGCACAAUCUUACCAAUUCACUUGCAUAUACAUUUUCACACUUAACAUUUCAUAUUCACUUUAAUUCAUUAUUAAUCCCGUUGAACACUUGGAAUAUACACGGAUACGUAGAGAUUUAGCACAUAAGUGCCACAUUGAUAUGUAGCCGAAGCUACCACUGAUAUGUAGCCGUAGCUACCACUGAAAUGUAGCCGAAGCUACCACUGAUCAAUAACACUGGAAAUGUCCACGGGCCUGCUCACACAAGCUGUCAGGUGUCUGCAACACAUGCUAGAUCACCCAGCACCCGGGACUCACUGUAACACUGUAACACUGUAACACUGGUCUCUAGUGACAUGUCACUUGUAUCCAAUUCUAUUCCUAAGUUCAACCGGGAAUUUACACUUAACACUUUAUUUUCAACACUUUAUCACUUGAAUAAUUCAUGAACAAUUUUCCUUCCACAUUCAAUAUUAAUUCACAUAUCAAAUAUAAUUCACAAUUUAUACAAAUAUAACUAUUAUUUACAUAUAACUUACCUCGGAUGCAAAACGACUAUUUUUGUAAUUUAGUCGAUAACUUUCUCUUUUCCCUGAUCACUUGCACUAUUUCUUCUUUCUUGAUCUAUAUUAACACAAUUUAAUACAUUUUAUCAAUAUUCCAUCCAAAUACAAUUCAUACACAACAUUUUGACACAUUUACAUUUUUCCCCAUAACUUUUCAAAAAUUCCACUUUUGUCCCUAAGCUCGUAAAAAUCAAAUUCACUAAAUUUCUUAAAUUUCAAACUUCACUAAAUCAUAUUUCAUGCUCAUAACAGCCCUCAAUUUCACAAAAUCACAACUUUAUGCACACUUUACCAUCUUUCACAAUUUAGCCCUUUUUCAACAUUUUCAUUGAAAUUCAUCUAGUAAAACUUGUAAUUAACACUUCAAACAUUCAUUAUCUAACAUCACUAAUCAAUUUACAAUUAUAUCAUGAAUGUGUCAAUUUUUAAAACUUUAAUUUCAUUUAAAUUAAAUGGUAGAAACAUGAAAUUCAAGCUUCAAUAAGCAUAAAAAUACGAAAAUAAUUAAAAACGGGGCAAGAAAUCACUUACAAUUGAGCUUAGGAAGUUUAAGAACCCUAGCUAUGGUGACAUGAAUUUUUUUGGCAGCAAACGUCUGAUUUUAAGAAGAUGAACACUUAUUUUCAUCUUUAUUUUGUCUUUUAUUCAAUUUGGACAAAAAUGCCCUUGACCCAUUACUUAGAUAUUUUUCUAGAAAUACCCUUUUGUGUCCAUAACACUAAUUUAUGGUCUAAUUGCCACAUAAACACUUCCAAUUUCAUGCAAUAAUUCAAUUAAGUCAUUUAAUCACUAAUUAGACACACUUUGCAUUUUUCUCAAUUUAGUCCUAAAAAUUCAAUUAAGCACUAAAGCAUUAAAAUUUCCUAUCCAUAUUUUCACACAAUAUUUCAAUCAAUCAGUAACUAAUAAAAAUUUAUAAAAUUAAACUAUUUCACUUCGGAUUUGUGGUUACGAAACCACUAUUCCGAUUAGGCCCUAUUUCGGGCUAUCACAAUUCUCCCCCCUUAGGGAUUUUCGUCCCCGAAAAUCUUACCAGUGAAUAAGUUGGGAUACUGUUUCCUCAUAGCCUCCUCGGUUUCCCAUGUUGCCUCUUCCACCCCAUGUCGUUGCCAUAACACUUUCACUAAAGCAAUUUCUUUGUUUCUCAACUGUUUCACUUCUCGUGCCAAGAUUCGAAUCGGUUCUUCUUCGUAUGUCAUAUCCGAUCGAAUUUCCACUUCAGUCGGUGAAAUCACAUGUGAUGGGUCCGAUCGAUAUCGCCUCAACAUAGAAACAUGAAACACAUUAUGAAUUCUUUCCAAUUCCGGUGGUAAAGACAAUCGAUAAGCCACUGGACCAAUUCUUUCUAUCACUUCAUACGGACCAAUAAAUCUUGGACUUAAUUUACCUUUACGGCCAAAUCUCAGAAUUUUCUUCCAUGGAGACACUUUCAGAAAUACUUUAUCACCCACUUGAAACUCAAUCUCUUUUCUUUUCAAAUCCGCAUACGACUUUUGUCGAUCUGAUGCAGCUUUCAAACAAUCACGGAUUAUCUUCACUUUUUCUUCGGUUUCUUUUACCAAAUCAACUCCAUGUAACUGAUUUUCAUUAAGUUCAGUCUAAUAUAAUGGAGUCCGACACUUUCGUCCAUAUAACGCUUCAUAAGGUGCCAUUUUUAUGCUUGACUGAUAACUAUUAUUAUAAGCAAAUUCCACCAAAGGUAAAUAUCUUUCCCAAUUACCUUCAAAUUCCAAUACACAACAUCUCAACAUGUCUUCGAGUAUUUGAAUUACUCUUUCAGACUGUCCAUCGGUUUGGGGAUGGAAUGCUGUACUAAAAUUCAAUUUAGUACCCAAUGCCUCUUGUAAUUUCUUCCAAAACCUUGAAGUAAAUCGUGGAUCUCUAUCAGAUAUAAUAGACAUAGGUACACCAUGUAAUCGGACUAUCUCAUCAAUAUACAAUUCAGCUAACUUGUCAAGUGAAAAACUCAUUCGCACAGGAAUGAAAUGAGCCGACUUAGUCAAUCGAUCAACUAUAACCCAAAUUGAGUCUUUCUUUUUCGGUGACAAUGGCAAUCCAGAAACAAAAUCCAUAGUAAUUCUAUCCCACUUCCACUCGGGCACCAUAAUAGGUUGAAGUAAUCCUGAAGGUACUUGGUGUUCAGCUUUUACUUGUUGGCACACUAAACACUUUGUCACAUACUCGGAGAUAUCCCGUUUCAUACCCGACCACCAAUAUAAUUUCUUCAAAUCAUUGUACAUUUUUACACUACCGGGGUGAACUGCCAAAUGACUAUCAUGUGCUUCUUGCAAAAUUUUCUGAAUUAAAUCAACAUUUUUCGGAACACAUAUUCUAUCACGAAACAUUAAACAUCCAUCUGAAUCAAUCUGAAAAUCAGAAUUAUUGUCCACUGCACACUGAGUCUUUCUUCUUUGCAAUUCAUUAUCCACUUUCUGAGCCUCACAAAUUUCUUGAAGAAACAAUAGUCUAGCUUUUAACUCUGCAAACAAUGAUCCAUCUUCAGUCAAUGUUAAUCUCGUAUUCAAAGCUCUCAAAGCAAAGAGAGACUUUCUGCUCAAAGCAUCAACAACUAUAUUAGCUUUUCCCGGAUGAUAAUCUAUCACAAGUUCAUAAUCUUUCAACAAUUCCAACCAUUUUCUUUGCCGCAAAUUCAGAUCUUUUUGUGUCAUAACAUAUUUCAAACUUUUAUGAUCUGUAAAAACACGACAUUUCUCACCAUAUAAAUAAUGACGCCAAAUCUUCAAAGCAAAGAGAAUAGCAGCCAACUCUAAAUCAUGGGUAGGAUAAUUUCGUUCAUGCGGUUUCAAUUGUCGAGAAGCAUACGCUAUCACUUUUCCUUCUUGCAUCAAUACACAUCCAAGCCCAUUUAAUGACGCGUCACUAUAAACAACAAAUUCCUUUCCUGACUCAGGUUGCACUAACACUGGUGCCUCAGUUAAACAGUUUUUUAAUUUCUCAAAACUUUGUUGACACUCCUCGGUCCAUUCGAACUUAGCAUCUUUUUGCAACAAUUUUGUCAUCGGUGAAGCUAUCAUCGAAAAACCUUCUACAAAUCGACGAUAAUAUCCGGCUAAGCCCAGAAAACUCCUAACUUCAGAUACAUUUCUUGGAGGCUUCCACUCAACUAUUGCCGAUAUCUUAUUCGGAUCCACUCGAAUGCCAUCUCCCGAGACAAUAUGCCCCAAAAAUCCAACUUCACUAAGCCAAAAUUCACUUUUGCUAAAUUUAGCAAACAAUUUCUUUUCUCGCAGCGUUUGUAGCACAAUUCUUAAAUGUUCAGCAUGCUCGGCUUCACUUCGGGAAUAAAUAAGAAUAUCAUCUAUAAACACCACAACAAAUUUAUCCAAAUAGGGCCGAAAAAUUCGAUUCAUCAAAUCCAUAAAAAUAGCUGGAGCAUUAGUCAGACCAAAAGGCAUUACAAGAAAUUCAUAGUGGCCAUACCGGGUUCUGAAAGCAGUCUUUGGCACAUCUGACUCUUUAACCCUCAAUUGGUAAUAUCCGGAUCUCAAAUCAAUUUUGGAAAACACUGUGGCAUCCUUUAACUGAUCAAACAAGUCAUCUAUUCGGGGCAAUGGAUACUUAUUCUUCACUGUCACUUUGUUAAGUUGACGAUAAUCGAUACAUAAUCUCAAUGUCCCAUCCUUUUUCUUCACAAAUAACACAGGAGCACCCCACGGAGAGUAACUUGGUCUUACAAAUCCUUUAUCUGUCAGCUCUUGUAAUUGCACUUUUAAUUCUUUUACUUCAGUUGGUGCCAUUCUGUAGGGAGCAAUCGAUAUUGGAGCAGUACCUGGCAUUACUUCAAUACCAAACUCUACUUCUCUAAUCGGAGGCAAACCUGGCAACUCUUCUGGGAACACAUUUACAUAUUCACAUACCACUGGCACUGAUUCGAUCAUUAUUUCAGACACUUUUGUGUUCAACACAUAAGCAAGAUAUGCUUCACAACCAUUUUUCAAACAUUUCUGAGCAGACAUGACAGAAAUCACAAUUGGCAUCACAUUUGACUUAUCUGUUUCAACCCGAAGAACUGUACCACUACCACACUUCAACUCAAGAAUUUUCUGACUGCAAUCUAUCUUGGCCUUAUGUAAUGUCAACCAAUCCAUUCCCAAAAUAACAUCAAAUUCAUCAAAUGGCAACAACAUUAAGUUGGCAGGGAAACACUGACCUUGUAUAAUCAAAGGAUAAUUUUUGCAUAUUUUAUCAACUAUCACAUGCUUGCCUAAAGGAUUCGACACUUUAACCACAUACUCAGUCAAUUCAACACACAAAUUCUUAUCAGACACUAAAUUCAUGCAUACAUACGAGUGAGUAGAACCAGGAUCAAUCAAUGCAAGAACAUUAGUGUCGUAAAGAGAAAAUAUACCAGUGAUCACAUCAGGAGAAGAUGC